CCUUGUGUGUCAUAAAUAAACACAAUUGUGCCAUCAAAGCAAGCUGCAAUCUGGCCAAAGGCUGUCAAAGCCAGAAGUAAAGCUCAUAAUUAUAAGGCACAUAAAAUGAUUCACCUUCAUCUGGUUAGGAGUUCCAGAAGCUUAUUUAUAGAGCACUCAAACUAAUAGGGCUGUUAAAUUCUCAUUAGUCACUGACACAGCAUUCCUUCCUUUCAAUUUCCAAAGCGAUUAAGAUGCAAGUUCCUUUCUUGUCGUGUUUUCAGGUGUUUUAGCUUGUGGGGCUGCUUGGGGAGAAGAGUCAGAACUGCAAUCAAGGUGUUUCAACCCAAACACACUUCCUGUUCAGUGAUGGCUCUUCUUGUUCCCUUCACUUCUAUCUCAGCCCACCUGUCUUCACCGUCUGUAAUGACUGUCCUCAAAACAAAAUGUUUCAUUUUCCCAUAAAAUGUAAACGAGCCGCUCAGUCCUGGAUUGACCAUCUGGGUGUAGAUGCUGUUUCCUCUCUCAGCGCGUAGGUCUGAAUGUUUGUUUUUCUGGUGAACUACGUAUCCGACACCAGUAACCUCGAGUUAAGGACGGGCCAAACCAGUUGUUUCUGUGCAGUAGCAGGAGGCCUCAGGUGUGCAGCUUCCUGCACCUCAAAAACCCAGGUUCUUCAGAUGCAUGCUUGAAAACUAACGGCGAGAAGACAGGUCUGCAAAUCACUCACAAGUGUAAGCAUCGUCUCAGCCGCUAAAUUUCAAAGGGACACGAUGUAAACUCUGAAGAAAAGUACAAGUUGUUCAUAGCAACUUCCGUUUGAGCAAUCAGCAGGAAACAAAUCACAGCAACAGCAGCCUGCAAUGGAUUGAUGAAGCUAUCGCACGUGAGCCUCUGAAUAAUAAUUUCCUGCGAGUUUCAACACGUACAAAUUUCAGAGCAGGCUCAAUCUGACAGACAAGAAAAUCGAGAAGCGGGUUGCGCAAACCCAAAGUUUAUCGUGAGACUUGAAAU
Poecilia latipinna (sailfin molly) is the source of this 993-nucleotide long non-coding RNA. RefSeq lists it as uncharacterized. The transcript has 4 exons. The record is from RefSeq and is a predicted model, not a curated record. NCBI's taxonomy places the organism in Eukaryota, Metazoa, Chordata, Actinopteri, Cyprinodontiformes, Poeciliidae.